GGCAGUGUAGCAUAGUGGUUAAGGAACAGGACUCGUAAUCAAAAGGUUGCUGGUUCGAUUCCCUACUGGGA
This 71-nucleotide transfer RNA is filed under the name Megalops atlanticus (tarpon). Its description in RNAcentral is "tRNA-OTHER". Lineage: Eukaryota; Metazoa; Chordata; Actinopteri; Elopiformes; Megalopidae. The record is from RNAcentral.